UACAGUCCGUGGCUGUUGAGUUGAAAACAUCGUCUUUCUUAAUUAUUUUGUUUUGUUCGGGAGGGAAGUUUAGCGAGCUGUUACUGGUUUUGGCGAGAACAUUGAUUUUGUUUUUUACACGUUGGAAUUUAAAAUUUGUUUUGAUCGUACAUAUAGUUAAGAAGUUCUGGCUCAUACAUCAAAUCAUUAAAAUAUGGUCCUUCGCCUUUGGAGCAUCCCCAAAAUACCACAACUUAAAUAACAACCCUGGAAUUUUACCUUACAAAAUAGGAAACGCACAAAAGAAUGUUUCUAUAUCUCCAAAAUUAUGUUAAAAAACGUGGUUUUGGCAGACAGUUCCAAUAAUAGUAUCUCGGAAUCAUACGAAGACGACAGGGAUAAGGAUUAUGAAUAUCAAUCUGAUGCGACUGAAAGUUCAGAUUCCCAUAUUUCUGACGAAUUAGAAAAUUUAAUAGGAAGCACAAGUAAAAAUAGUUCUAAUAGUACGGGAUGCGUUGAAAAGAAAUUACAGGAUACUUCUAAAAUGAUAUGUAGUGAGCUAAGUAACUCGGUGGUUACGGAAAUUACAAAUUCAAUUGGAAAGAUUAAGAAAGAUGUUUUAUGUAUUUUCUGUAAAAAUGUAAUUUUUACGAAAAACUUUGCUAGACACCUGGAAACAAAACACAAAAAUGAAAAUGAGGUCAAAGAUAUUUUGCAGUAUCCAAGAAAGAGUAAAGACAGAAGAGAGGCAUUUAAUUUGUUUAGGAACAAAAUUAAUUUUGAUUUAUAUAUAGAGGGCAAAGUAUGCCCAAAUCGGAAAACGAUGGAUAAAAAUGCUUUAACUUUUUAUCCAUGUGUUUACUGUAAAGGAGUCUUUAAAAAAGAUAAUCUUAAACGACACACGAAAAAGUGCCUUAUUAAAAAUAAUAAAUUAAAACCAAAAAAGGGUAAAAACUACUAUAUUAGCGACUCGCAAUCCGAAAUUGCCUGUGCAAUGCGACAAAUGUAUUUUCAAAGCUAAAUAUAAAGGAAUUGGUAUUUUCUAUUAUGAAGGGAGAUGACAUAUCUUUUGUUGCAAAAAAAGAUCUUCUCAUUUGUCAUUUUGGAUUAUAUCUAAAAAAAAACAUAAGAGAGAGCGCAAAGAGUAUUCCUGUAGUGCAAGAAUGCGUGAGCUUUCGCGCUUAUUAAUUUGGUCGGCAAUCCUACAUGCAGUUUUAAGUAUAUAUUAAAUUUAAGGAUAUUGGAAAAAUUGGUAAUAUCAAGUUGGAACACAGAAAUAUCAAGUCUGGCAAAUAAGGAUAUGCAAGAAAAACGUUGGAAUAAACCACUCCUUAUACCACUAGUAAGCGAUUUAAAAUUUUUAGAGAGGAAACAACAAAAUUUGCUGAAGAUUGCUACACAAAGUUUUUAACUCAUGAUGAUGAUAAUGAAAGCUAUAAAUUGCUGGUUCAAUGUUCUUUGACACUACUUUUUCUGUUUAAUCGUAGACGUAUAGGUGAUGUACAAUAUUUAAAGAUAGAGAACUAUAUGAGACAAAAUAUAUCUAAUUUUAAAGAUUUUGAAUCAGUUUUAACAGAAUCGGAAAAAAUCUUAACAACAAAAUACAGACGUAUCGUAAAUAGUGGAAAAGGUUCUAGACAAGUAGUUAUUUUAUUACCAGAAAUGUAGAGAAAUAUAUAAAUAAAUUAUUAGAAUGUCGAAAUAAGUAUAUAUCACAAAACAAUGUAUACAUGUUUGCCAUGCCACAUAGCAAAAUUAAGUGGGGACAAGGCGACGAUGCGAUAUUUGACUACUACAAUGAAGCCUCAAUAUCCUGAAGCUAUAUCGAGCAAUAAAUUUAAAAAAAAUAUUGCCACACACAAAUAUUUGUGCAACGAAAUAUUAAAUCUUUCCAAAGAAGACAUCGCACAAUUUUCGAAAUUUAUGGGUCAAACUGAAAAAACGCAUGCGGAAUUUUACGAGUAAGUCAAAAAAUGUAACCUUAACAUCUUAAGGUUGUUUUUUAUUGCUCUCUUAUUUACGUUUUCCAAUUUUCCGUAUACCCAAUAUUUCGUAUCAUGUUUCAUAUUUUAAUACUACCAGUGGAUAUUUACCAAACCGCGAAGGUUUCCAAACUACUUCUUAUGAUGGAAAAGGGGACAUUACCGAAUGAAUUUAGGGGAAAGUCUUUAUCGGAAAUAGAAUUCAAUCCUAAUUUGGAAUUUCCGGAAGAAAGUAACAAAGUUUUAGGACAUUUUGUGCCCCAAAAAAAUAAUCCUUCGACAUCUUGCAGUACUAGCAGAACAAAUAAAGAUAAUAAUGUUGAAACUACACGAGCAUUAAAUGAAAAAAGGUCAGCUGUACCAAAAAAUACUAAAAAUAAAAUUUAAAAAGAGAAAUUUAAUUAUACAGAAGAACCUUUAAAAAAGAAGCAAAUAAUAAAAAGAGGUUGGACACCGAAAGAAAUGAGUUUAAUAUCAGAAAAUUUUCAAAAGCACAUUCAAAACAAAACAUUAAAAAAUCUCAAAAAUCUCUCUUGGAACUUAUAAAAAGCGUUGAUUUUAAAAGAACACCAGCCCAAAUCAAGGCAAAAAUGCAGCACCUAAUGAAAAAAAACUUUGAGAAAAGCUAAAUCUUUUUAAGAUGUUUUUAUAUAAUGUUUAAUAAAAUUAAUAAAAGAUUUAUGUAACUUGUCUUAUAUGUAU
Molecule: long non-coding RNA, 2663 nt
Organism: Anthonomus grandis grandis
Lineage: Eukaryota; Metazoa; Arthropoda; Insecta; Coleoptera; Curculionidae
Exons: 8
Source: RefSeq, a predicted model, not a curated record